This 464-nucleotide ribosomal RNA is filed under the name uncultured bacterium. RNAcentral's name for it is "bacterial SSU rRNA". It matches the Rfam family "Bacterial small subunit ribosomal RNA", at positions 338 to 795 of the family's 1533-position model. The record is from RNAcentral.
CCUACGGGAUGCAGCAGUCGAGAAUAAUUCACAAUGGGGGAAACCUGAUGGUGCAACGCCGCGUGGAGGAUGAAGGUCUUCGGAUUGUAAACUCCUGUCAUUCGAGAGUAAGACUUGGUCGUGAAUAGCGGACAAGUUUGAUAGUAUCGGAAGAGGAAGGGACGGCUAACUUCGUGCCAGCAGCCGCGGUAAUACGAAGGUCCCAAGCGUUGUUCGGAAUCACUGGGCGUAAAGGGAGCGUAGGCGGCGUGGUAAGUCAGAUGUGAAAUCCCGGGGCUCAAGCCCGGAACUGCAUCCGAUACUGCCAUGCUUGAGGGUUGGAGAGGUAGCUGGAAUUCUCGGUGUAGCAGUGAAAUGCGUGGAUAUCGAGAGGAACACUCGUGGCGAAGGCGAGCUACUGGACAACAUCUGACGCUGAGGCUCGAAGGCUAGGGGAGCGAAAGGGAUUAGAUACCCGGGUAGUC